RNAcentral lists this ribosomal RNA (2906 nucleotides) under Escherichia coli. Its description in RNAcentral is "bacterial LSU rRNA". It matches the Rfam family "Bacterial large subunit ribosomal RNA". Lineage: Bacteria; Pseudomonadati; Pseudomonadota; Gammaproteobacteria; Enterobacterales; Enterobacteriaceae. The record is from RNAcentral.
UUAAGCGACUAAGCGUACACGGUGGAUGCCCUGGCAGUCAGAGGCGAUGAAGGACGUGCUAAUCUGCGAUAAGCGUCGGUAAGGUGAUAUGAACCGUUAUAACCGGCGAUUUCCGAAUGGGGAAACCCAGUGUGUUUCGACACACUAUCAUUAACUGAAUCCAUAGGUUAAUGAGGCGAACCGGGGGAACUGAAACAUCUAAGUACCCCGAGGAAAAGAAAUCAACCGAGAUUCCCCCAGUAGCGGCGAGCGAACGGGGAGCAGCCCAGAGCCUGAAUCAGUGUGUGUGUUAGUGGAAGCGUCUGGAAAGGCGCGCGAUACAGGGUGACAGCCCCGUACACAAAAAUGCACAUGCUGUGAGCUCGAUGAGUAGGGCGGGACACGUGGUAUCCUGUCUGAAUAUGGGGGGACCAUCCUCCAAGGCUAAAUACUCCUGACUGACCGAUAGUGAACCAGUACCGUGAGGGAAAGGCGAAAAGAACCCCGGCGAGGGAGUGAAAAAGAACCUGAAACCGUGUACGUACAAGCAGUGGGAGCACGCUUAGGCGUGUGACUGCGUACCUUUUGUAUAAUGGGUCAGCGACUUAUAUUCUGUAGCAAGGUUAACCGAAUAGGGGAGCCGAAGGGAAACCGAGUCUUAACUGGGCGUUAAGUUGCAGGGUAUAGACCCGAAACCCGGUGAUCUAGCCAUGGGCAGGUUGAAGGUUGGGUAACACUAACUGGAGGACCGAACCGACUAAUGUUGAAAAAUUAGCGGAUGACUUGUGGCUGGGGUGAAAGGCCAAUCAAACCGGGAGAUAGCUGGUUCUCCCCGAAAGCUAUUUAGGUAGCGCCUCGUGAAUUCAUCUCCGGGGGUAGAGCACUGUUUCGGCAAGGGGGUCAUCCCGACUUACCAACCCGAUGCAAACUGCGAAUACCGGAGAAUGUUAUCACGGGAGACACACGGCGGGUGCUAACGUCCGUCGUGAAGAGGGAAACAACCCAGACCGCCAGCUAAGGUCCCAAAGUCAUGGUUAAGUGUGGGAAACGAUGUGGGAAGGCCCAGACAGCCAGGAUGUUGGCUUAGAAGCAGCCCAUCAUUUAAAGAAAGCGUAAUAGCUCACUGGUCGAGUCGGCCUGCGCGGAAGAUGUAACGGGGCUAAACCAUGCACCGAAGCUGCGGCAGCGACGCUUAUGCGUUGUUGGGUAGGGGAGCGUUCUGUAAGCCUGCGAAGGUGUGCUGUGAGGCAUGCUGGAGGUAUCAGAAGUGCGAAUGCUGACAUAAGUAACGAUAAAGCGGGUGAAAAGCCCGCUCGCCGGAAGACCAAGGGUUCCUGUCCAACGUUAAUCGGGGCAGGGUGAGUCGACCCCUAAGGCGAGGCCGAAAGGCGUAGUCGAUGGGAAACAGGUUAAUAUUCCUGUACUUGGUGUUACUGCGAAGGGGGGACGGAGAAGGCUAUGUUGGCCGGGCGACGGUUGUCCCGGUUUAAGCGUGUAGGCUGGUUUUCCAGGCAAAUCCGGAAAAUCAAGGCUGAGGCGUGAUGACGAGGCACUACGGUGCUGAAGCAACAAAUGCCCUGCUUCCAGGAAAAGCCUCUAAGCAUCAGGUAACAUCAAAUCGUACCCCAAACCGACACAGGUGGUCAGGUAGAGAAUACCAAGGCGCUUGAGAGAACUCGGGUGAAGGAACUAGGCAAAAUGGUGCCGUAACUUCGGGAGAAGGCACGCUGAUAUGUAGGUGAGGUCCCUCGCGGAUGGAGCUGAAAUCAGUCGAAGAUACCAGCUGGCUGCAACUGUUUAUUAAAAACACAGCACUGUGCAAACACGAAAGUGGACGUAUACGGUGUGACGCCUGCCCGGUGCCGGAAGGUUAAUUGAUGGGGUUAGCGCAAGCGAAGCUCUUGAUCGAAGCCCCGGUAAACGGCGGCCGUAACUAUAACGGUCCUAAGGUAGCGAAAUUCCUUGUCGGGUAAGUUCCGACCUGCACGAAUGGCGUAAUGAUGGCCAGGCUGUCUCCACCCCGAGACUCAGUGAAAUUGAACUCGCUGUGAAGAUGCAGUGUACCCGCGGCAAGACGGAAAGACCCCGUGAACCUUUACUAUAGCUUGACACUGAACAUUGAGCCUUGAUGUGUAGGAUAGGUGGGAGGCUUUGAAGUGUGGACGCCAGUCUGCAUGGAGCCGACCUUGAAAUACCACCCUUUAAUGUUUGAUGUUCUAACGUUUGACCCGUAAUCCGGGUUGCGGACAGUGUCUGGUGGGUAGUUUGACUGGGGCGGUCUCCUCCUAAAGAGUAACGGAGGAGCACGAAGGUUGGCUAAUCCUGGUCGGACAUCAGGAGGUUAGUGCAAUGGCAUAAGCCAGCUUGACUGCGAGCGUGACGGCGCGAGCAGGUGCGAAAGCAGGUCAUAGUGAUCCGGUGGUUCUGAAUGGAAGGGCCAUCGCUCAACGGAUAAAAGGUACUCCGGGGAUAACAGGCUGAUACCGCCCAAGAGUUCAUAUCGACGGCGGUGUUUGGCACCUCGAUGUCGGCUCAUCACCAUCCUGGGGCUGAAGUAGGUCCCAAGGGUAUGGCUGUUCGCCAUUUAAAGUGGUACGCGAGCUGGGUUUAGAACGUCGUGAGACAGUUCGGUCCCUAUCUGCCGUGGGGCGCUGGAGAACUGAGGGGGCUGCUCCUAGUACGAGAGGACCGGAGUGGACGCAUCACUGGUGUUCGGGUUGUCAUGCCAAUGGCACUGCCCGGUAGCUAAUGCGGAAGAGAUAAGUGCUGAAAAGCAUCUAAGCACGAAACUUGCCCCGAGAUGAGUUCUCCCUGACCCUUUAAGGGUCCUGAAGGAACGUUGAAGACGACGACGUUGAUAGGCCGGGUGUGUAAGCGCAGCGAUGCGUUGAGCUAACCGGUACUAAUGAACCGUGAGGCUUAACCUU